GAACCGAGAGUCUUCCCCUCCUCUCCCCUCCCCUAGGACGGCCACCGCAUCCCCGUGCUCACCGCGUCGCGCCCUCGCCGUGCGACGGCUCUGCCUACCGAGCCCAUCGGCCACUGAGCCACCGCGGCUGCCUUGCGCUUCAUCCACCCCUGCAGUCGUCGUGCCGCGCCCUCUCACGCAGCCCCGCGCCCUCACGCAGCCCCGCGCCGCUCGCUGACUCCGCCGGCCGCUGCCCACCUCCGACCAUCGGGGCGGUCGGCGAUUUGCCCGUCCCUGCCCCCUCUACUUAGCCAUGGCCUUGGCCCCGAUUCGGCCGGCCCCGGCCGCCGUCCCUGUAGAACAGGGGGGUUAAUCCCCCCCGUGAUUACUUAAUUUGGGGCAAAUUACCCCCUUGGGUGUAUGACAAAUGGGCCCCAGCCCCUUAGAAU
RNAcentral lists this long non-coding RNA (428 nucleotides) under Hordeum vulgare. RNAcentral describes it as "long non-coding RNA (HVUL_LNC016529)". Lineage: Eukaryota; Viridiplantae; Streptophyta; Magnoliopsida; Poales; Poaceae. The record is from RNAcentral.